CAUCCCUCCCAAAAUAACUUGGCCCUCCCCCGAAGCACAGAGUUGAGCAGCCUACCUUUGUUCUGGAGUUGCAGAUAAUAACAGGCAAGCCUCAAGACCAUGAGGAUUUGGAAAAGAUCAGGAGAGUUGGAGGAAAAAAAAAAAAAGAAAAGAAAAGAAAAAAAUAAAGAAAGAAAGAAAGAAAGAAAAGAAAAGAAAGAAAAAGAAAUACUGCAAGCAGAGAAGAAUUGGAAGAAACAGAAAAGCCUGCUAAUGAACUGUAGUGGCUGCCACAGGAUCCGGGUGUCUUCACCAGUGUUUACACCAAUGCUGCCUAACCUGAUCAUCAGCUACGUUCUCUUCUCUGCUGUCCCUGGAAAGAGCUAGAAAAAUGAGUCAGGACCCACAGUCAAGAACACAAGAUGAUCUCAAAGCAAAGUACACUGGAGAUCCAAAAUCAAUCCAGCGUGAGGUCUAAUACAGACUUGAUAAACUCUCUUCUCUAGGCCCCUGGUGGUAGUGGUUCAGGUCAGGGAUGGACCAAUAGUGCAUCAUCAGUUCAGGUGAACAGCCGGUGGGCUCACACAACAAGCCUUGUGUCUUCUGAUAGGACUCAUGGACAAGGGAUGAAGUUGCGGUUCUUUCCUUCUGUGAUAAAAGUUCUACUGUGGUGUGGCGGUGGGAGAGCGAGGUCCUGACAACCUGCCUGGCUUUUCGCCCUGGCUCCAGCCCAACUAGAUUGGCAAACCAGGGCCCUGACUUCCUCCAUGGACAAGAGAGGACCCCAGAUUCAUACAGCCAGGCUUUCUUGGGAGUAGGAACCAUAGUAACACAAACAAUGAAAAAC
Mustela erminea (ermine) is the source of this 826-nucleotide long non-coding RNA. RefSeq lists it as uncharacterized. The transcript is spliced from 2 exons. Lineage: Eukaryota; Metazoa; Chordata; Mammalia; Carnivora; Mustelidae. The record is from RefSeq and is a predicted model, not a curated record.